GAAAGAUUUCAAUCCUCUUUUACUCCUGUUAGUCAUUCAGGAUGAUAAUGGGAGACAUGCACCACUACCGCAGUGUGCUGGAGAAAAGGUGUGGACUUUCAGAUGUAAAUACAAUAAAGGGAAAAUAGAAAUGAGAAGAGAACAAAGUUGUCUGUCAACAUGACUUCUAUGACAGAUUUUCUUGCUGUUCAGCAACGAUUCUAAUUCAAUUGCUGGCUGCUGUGAAGGAGAUGAGAUGCCAGAAGCAGAAGCGCUGCAAACCAGAACAAAAAAUAAUUACUAGUAGAAAUGUGCUGAAAAUAAUUCCCUUGAAAAUACAGUUGCAUUGUUCUUCUA
This is a long non-coding RNA of Pipra filicauda (Wire-tailed manakin), 336 nucleotides long. RefSeq lists it as uncharacterized. The transcript has 2 exons. The record is from RefSeq and is a predicted model, not a curated record. NCBI's taxonomy places the organism in Eukaryota, Metazoa, Chordata, Aves, Passeriformes, Pipridae.